This 279-nucleotide ribosomal RNA is filed under the name uncultured bacterium. RNAcentral's name for it is "partial 16S ribosomal RNA". It matches the Rfam family "Bacterial small subunit ribosomal RNA", at positions 506 to 784 of the family's 1533-position model. The record is from RNAcentral.
UGCCAGCCGCCGCGGUAAUACGAAAGGGGCUAGCGUUGUUCGGAAUUACUGGGCGUAAAGCGCACGUAGGCGGCAAUGUAAGUUGGGGGUGAAAUCCCGGGGCUCAACCCCGGAACUGCCUCCAAAACUACAUAGCUAGAGGAUGUGAGAGGAUAGUGGAAUUCCGAGUGUAGAGGUGAAAUUCGUAGAUAUUCGGAAGAACACCAGUGGCGAAGGCGACUGACUGGCUCGUAACUGACGCUGAGGCACGAAAGCGUGGGGAGCAAACAGGAUUAGAUA